GUAGAUAAUAAUAUCUCGUAUACUUACAGUGUUCAGCGUUUACAUGUUCAUGGAAGAACGCAUGAAGAAGUAAUAGAACGAACAACCGAAUAUCCAUUUUCGGUGUCUGACCAGCCAACAUCUUAAGAGGAAAAAUUGUAAUAACACUGUUCAAUAUGUGUUUCUCAAGAAUUAAGGAUGAUGGAAAAAAACAGCUUACGGAUUCGUAUUCAUUGCAGAAAUUUAUAAAAAACGUCUACUAAAUAUUACAUCAAUCUCUCACGCAAAAUACAUUCAAGAAAUAUUAUCGGUUUAACAGUUUCAGUGAUCAAGCGAUACCUUGUUGACUAGAAGCAUGACGAUGUUAAUGAAACACAAAACUUUUGCCUAUACUUUAUUAAUUAGACGAACCGCAAGAUGACAUCAUUGAAAUAGUACAUAGUUAUCCGACGCUCGUCGGACGUACCUCUACGAAAUGAAACACCGGGUUCUCUUCAUACGUGACCAGUUCUUUGUUUCUCUGGAUGUAUAAACCUGACCACGUUUCACGCUCGAAAUAAAUAAAACGAUGGCACAGAAGUAACGUAAGAGCGGAACCGAGAUAACUAACAGUGUAUUAUGAAGAAAAGAAAAAAUCGGGUGGUUCGGUUACAUUGAACAAAAGCUUAACUCGAUGACCACUGGAAACUCAACAGGCGAUGAUCAGAGAGAGUUUACCACAUGGUGCUCGAACACAUGGAGAAUUUCUUUGCAUUCAACACGUAUGCACACAUGUAGUCGCACGAAGACUGGAUUAAAUCGUCGCUGGCUGUUGAUGCGGCCAAAAGUCCAGUAGGGAACUGGAAUUAUUGAAGCUGGUGGGGGUUCUGCGUAAUACACGCAACGGGACUCAAUUGAGACAUAAUAUGGGAAUUGAUAUUGCACCGCAUCUCCUAUUAAAAUUUCAAACUUUUCUUGCAAUGACAAUUUCUCUUGAUAUUGGCCUGCUCAUAAAGGAACCUGAGUCACCCGACAAUUGCUACUGAAUUACUUUGUUAAUGCUACAAUUGUCAGAAACGACGAUUGCGAGUGAAUUAUUGUCAUCCAUAUGCAGCAUAGUUUCAACCAGACACGUGUCCGUUCUAUCAUUUUCUAUUACCGGUAUUAUUUUCUUGCAUUGUAUACAAAUUUUUUGAAAAAUUCAAAUCUUCCAAUCUAAUUCAGCUAAAUACGUCUUAAUAAAAUGAUAAAAAGAUAUUUUAGUAAUCAAAUAAUUAGAUUGACGAAUGAAGAUUUAUAUUUCAGACAGUUAUAUUUUGAUUUUCUUUUUGAUACAGCUAACAUAUAAUAUGAAAAUGCAUAUCCGGUGAACAGCGGACUUCAUACUAAUGAGAUAAUUUUAAUCAACAUUGACAGCAACGUUUAUAGUGUAUACUGAUGUUCCUAUUAUAUUUCAAAUUAUCUCUCAACAAAGUAUGUGAAAUUAAACAGUGAGUACUCGAAAAUAAAUUAGGGAACAUUUGUGUCAUCUAUUAGGAAGCAGCUGAAGCUAGUUAUCAGCUUAUCGGUCGUCCUGCCGGCCGUCUGUAAGUUGCCAACUUAUCGACCGAUCAUUCGACAAUCGCUAGGUUGCCGACUUAUCGAUCGAUCAUUUGGCAGUCGGUAACUUGUCGCAUAGCUUUCGCUGUAGCUUGAUAGGUAGCGCUAGUAUAACAGUUUUUUUUCGGCGGUACAAUGGGUAAUAUCACUAUUCUACAUUAUCCAUCAUUCCUAUUUACCGAUCGUACCCCAGGCCCGCUGGGCCCACUUGGGGUGCCGAACUUUAUCACAGGGGAUGGCAGUCUUUAACAGUAUCUCGUCGGUGCCUUGGGGUACCGGGUACUCCAAUAAUGACGCCCCAGCGGUAACAAAGGCAUGUUUAGUCUUCUUGGAUCUGUAAUCACUGUUGUAAAUCGGUUCAUGGGUAAACAAGAGAGGAAAUAAAAAAAAAAUCGAUCAAUAAGUCAUUGAAUAGUUUGCCUCAUUUUUGUACAGAUGACGCUGAAGGCGAAUUUUAAAAAUAAUUUAUGGCGGUCUUUUUAAAAUUUCGUUUGUCGAACGGUUAUGUUAGUAAUUUUCAAGUCUUGUACUAAUUUUGACUGAUUUCUAAAAAAGAUUUGACCCCUUAAAAACAAAGGCUUUCCAGUCUUUUUAUAUCUGUAGUCACUGAUCAUAUAUUUCACAAAUAUUACAAUUUUAUAAUUCUUACACUUUUAUUGAAUUACAGUACAAUUAUUAUUGAGCUGCACCAAUUUAAAUGUGAUAUUAACUGGUAUGUAUGUAUAUAGUUAAUAUCAGAAUACAGAGUAAUC
This is a non-coding RNA of Osmia lignaria (orchard mason bee), 2309 nucleotides long. Lineage: Eukaryota; Metazoa; Arthropoda; Insecta; Hymenoptera; Megachilidae. The record is from RefSeq and is a predicted model, not a curated record.